ACUCCUGCGGGAGGCAGCAGUGGGGAAUUUUGGACAAUGGGCGAAAGCCUGAUCCAGCAAUGCCGCGUGAGUGAAGAAGGCCUUCGGGUUGUAAAGCUCUUUUGUCAGGGAAGAAACGGUGAAAGCUAAUAUCUUUUGCUAAUGACGGUACCUGAAGAAUAAGCACCGGCUAACUACGUGCCAGCAGCCGCGGUAAUACGUAGGGUGCAAGCGUUAAUCGGAAUUACUGGGCGUAAAGCGUGCGCAGGCGGUUUUGUAAGUCUGAUGUGAAAUCCCCGGGCUCGACCUGGGAAUUGCAUUGGAGACUGCAAGGCUAGAAUCUGGCAGAGGGGGGUAGAAUUCCACGUGUAGCAGUGAAAUGCGUAGAUAUGUGGAGGAACACCGAUGGCGAAGGCAGCCCCCUGGGUCAAGAUUGACGCUCAUGCACGAAAGCGUGGGGAGCAAACAGGAUUAGAAACCCUGGUAGUCCCAUG
Molecule: ribosomal RNA, 473 nt
Filed under: uncultured organism
Description: partial 16S ribosomal RNA
Rfam family: Bacterial small subunit ribosomal RNA
Source: RNAcentral